This 433-nucleotide ribosomal RNA is filed under the name uncultured bacterium. RNAcentral describes it as "partial 16S ribosomal RNA". It matches the Rfam family "Bacterial small subunit ribosomal RNA", at positions 28 to 507 of the family's 1533-position model. The record is from RNAcentral.
GACGAACGCUGGCGGCAUGCCUAACACAUGCAAGUCGAACGAGACCUUCGGGUCUAGUGGCGCACGGGUGCGUAACGCGUGGGAACCUGCCCUUAGGUUCGGAAUAACUCCCCGAAAGGGGUGCUAAUACCGGAUAAUGUCUUCGGACCAAAGAUUUAUCGCCUUUGGAUGGGCCCGCGUUGGAUUAGCUAGUUGGUAGGGUAAAAGCCUACCAAGGCGACGAUCCAUAGCUGGUCUGAGAGGAUGAUCAGCCACACUGGGACUGAGACACGGCCCAGACUCCUACGGGAGACAGCAGUGGGGAAUAUUGGACAAUGGGCGAAAGCCUGAUCCAGCAAUGCCGCGUGAGUGAUGAAGGCCUUAGGGUUGUAAAGCUCUUUUACCCGGGAUGAUAAUGACAGUACCGGGAGAAUAAGCUCCGGCUAACUCCGUG